This 464-nucleotide ribosomal RNA is filed under the name uncultured Acidovorax sp. RNAcentral describes it as "bacterial SSU rRNA". It matches the Rfam family "Bacterial small subunit ribosomal RNA", at positions 917 to 1381 of the family's 1533-position model. Lineage: Bacteria; Pseudomonadati; Pseudomonadota; Betaproteobacteria; Burkholderiales; Comamonadaceae. The record is from RNAcentral.
GACGGGACCGCACAAGCGGUGGAUGAUGUGGUUAAUUCGAUGCAACGCGAAAACCUUACCACCUUGACAUGUACGGAAUCCUUUAGAGAUAGAGGAGUGCUCGAAAGAGAGCCGUAACACAGGUGCUGCAUGGCUGUCGUCAGCUCGUGUCGUGAGAUGUUGGGUUAAGUCCCGCAACGAGCGCAACCCUUGUCAUUAGUUGCUACAUUCAGUUGGGCACUCUAAUGAGACUGCCGGUGACAAACCGGAGGAAGGUGGGGAUGACGUCAAGUCCUCAUGGCCCUUAUAGGUGGGGCUACACACGUCAUACAAUGGUCGGUACAGAGGGUUGCCAAGCCGCGAGGUGGAGCGAACCCCAAAAAGCCGGUCUCAGUUCGGAUUGGAGUCUGCAACUCGACUGCGUGAAGUCGGAAUCGCUAGUAAUCGCGGAUCAGCAUGUCGCGGUGAAUACGUUCCCGGGUCUU